Molecule: long non-coding RNA, 3652 nt
Organism: Macaca fascicularis (crab-eating macaque)
Lineage: Eukaryota; Metazoa; Chordata; Mammalia; Primates; Cercopithecidae
Source: Ensembl
UUUGUAACAAAAAUACUUAAAAUUCAUUUAUUCAAAGUCCCUGCACUUUGUUUAACAUAAAAUAGAAACCAACUAAACAUACACAGUUUUCUAAUAGAAUAUUUCUAAACUCAACCAGUUUGCUUUUUAAUUCUGCUUGAGCAUACAGUAUUAAGGUACAUUUUUGAAGGGCAAGAAACCAUCAUAUUUAAAACCUCACUACUGAACAAUAAAAUACUACUGAAAUAGAAAGUAUAGUUCCUUUUUUCAGUACAUAAUCUAGAAGUUCUCAUCCAAAUACCCAUUACAAAGUCCAGAGAUCUCUUCUGUUUUCCAGCAUUUUCUGCUACUUUGUAAUGCCUCCAAUGAUUUUAUAAUUUCCAAUGGGUAAAGGAAUGCUUCAAAAUCUCUUCUACAAAUAUGGAGAAUAGAACUUUAUGAGGGUAACCCCUCCAACCUACUUCCCUUAAAAAAGGUGUAUAAGCGAGUUGACAGCAGAACUCAGGGAACCUCUGGUACUAAGGUGUCAUCACUACUAACCGGUUAAGGAGAUAAGACUGGGCCGAUUCCCAAAUGAGACUGAAGCAAAUGUAAAUGAGAAAUGUUAUUAAUGUUAAUGAAGAACAAACAAUUUUUUAAAGAAAGGACUAAAAUUCUGUUAACCAAGCAAAUAUCCUAGUAUUUAAAAAGAGAGAACGAACUGAGAAAAAUGAAUUUUUAAAAAUAUUAUAAUCCUGGCCCAGACUUUCAGGACUUCCAGGACACAUGAAGAAGCUCUAGAACAAUUGAGACUGCAGGAAAAACUACUUAGUACAAUAUAUAUUAAAAAAAAAUCAUUCAACAGAGAUUCUGUUAAAAGGUAGAAACGAAAAGAAAAGCCUUACGAAACUGCUAUUAAUAGAAGCUGCAGCCCCAUCCCAGUGCCUUAGGCUUAUUGGUAAGGCCUGUUCAUUUGGAAGGCUGAGUUACUGGUCUUCCACUUCUUACCCCAGUCCUUAUAGUAUGUGCUCAAUACACAUUUGUCAUUUAAAUUUUAUUGGGCAUCUAGAAUUUUUUUACUGCUCAGAACUCCAGCAGCCUGUCAUUGUAUAGUCCAGGGCAGAUAAGUGAAAGAAUCCUAGUCAUUAAAGAAGCUGAAAAAUAAGUAGUAGCUGUUGCAAGUACAGGCUUUGUUUUCUUAUUUACUUCAAUGUGGCAAACCAAAAUCGUGGUGCUGAGCCUCCAUGCCAGGAGACAGUCAAUUUGGCAGAAAUCACAUUUAAUUUGUGUCAGAAACAUAGGAUUCUACUAGCCCUCUGUCAAAAGAGGUAAUAUCAGCCCUAUCUAUCCUUCACACUCAGAUAGAUAUAGAAUCCCAAGAAGACAGACCUCACUUUGUAAUGUUCUCUCUUGGCACUUUAAAAAAACUUUUUAUUUAAAAUAGCCAUAAAGAUCCACUAAAGGAUGAUAGGUUAUUUGCACAGAGGCUGCAGUUUGUUCAAAACCAAAUAGAUUUCAAAAUAUGGCAUAUGUUAAAAUGCAGUCCCAACCAUAAGACGUUUUGGCAGCAGAGGAGUUGAAUGCUAUAGAAAACAUAUUAACUUCCCCCUCUUUCCAAUGUGUAGGAAACAGGUAACUUACAAUGACAAAUCUUCAACACACCAUAUAGAGUUUAGAAGACCUGAUGCCAUAAGAAUUAAGAACUGGAUAUAUUAGAACAUCCCACUCAAUAUUUUGUCUUACCAUUGUAUAUUCAAUUUAAAAACGAUUAAUUGUUAAUUAAUUUUUACUACACCAAGUAGAACCAGUGACUGCCACAUUUAUCUGACAAUUAUAGAGAAUUUGAUCUUUGUGCUUAUAUUUCAGGGUACUGGAAGUUUGACAACAUUGAUUUAGAUUAAAUUAUACAUAUUUGAAAGCUAUAUUUAGAUGAAGAGUUGCUUAAGCAUAUUCUUUUUAACACUCAGUUUAUGAGAAAAGUUAUGUGUUAUCUGAUCAGGAAUAUGUUGUAUUUUAAGGAUUUCACCUCAUCUGGCUGACUUUUAAAAAUCAGCAAAUAUUUUUAAAGUAGAAUUUUUAAGAUCAGAAAGAAAUCAAGUUUGAAAAAAGAGGUUUUGGAGUGAGAGAGAAGGGUCAUAUCCUACUUAAGGCUUUUUCAACACAGAGCAAGGAAAUGGUGCCACUACAAGAUCUGGUACAAAUGUUUUCCUACAUUUUUGAACCACAAUGUUUAAAAGCAUCGUAUUUUAAUUUCAGGCCUUAUAAACUAAAGAUGUCCCCGAAAAUUAAUUACACUUAUUAUUUUGGAUCAGAGUUUGUGGCUGACAACAUCUGUUAGAAACUUCAUUGUGCUCCUAAUUAAAGAACCAAGUCUAGCUGACUGAUGAAAAAAGAAAAAAAAACUUUAAUUCAAAGGAAAAUGUAAUACUGUGAAAACAACCAAAUAAUUUUCCUCCACAAAUAUUCUCCCUGGGAGAAACAGGCUUUCGGUGGGAGCACAGGUUUUCAGUCGUCUGUGUCAUGUAUCUAGUGUACAUUUUAUUAUUUUUCCCAUUUACUGUGUCUUUUCUAUUACGUUACAGCUGAAGGUUUUACUUAAUCAAUUCUCUUCUGAAACGCUCUUCCUCUGUCCUACACUAUGGUAGCUUCAGCAAUGACUGCCAAGUAAAACACCUUUUCUUUUUGUUUCCUCCCUUAUGCUUUGAAAUUUUGUUAUCCAUUUCUGUAGACAUCAACAUAUUUAAAACUUUAAAAAACAUUUUUCCCAGAAGGUUCUGUUAGAAGGUAGAAAAGAAAGCCUUAUGAGAACGUCCCCCAGAGUGCCCAGAGGGCUGCGUGAACAUGCCCAGCCAGGUUAUGAAAGAUCAUUGAUCCAAAAGGGAACGUGACAACGCCGGGUAGGUGCCCCAAGCUAGCACCUGUCCCGACCCUCUUCCGCGCCAGCCUAACCUAUGCACUUGUCACGAACCGAGGACCUAAAAGAAGGCGAGGGAAUGGGAAGGAGGAUGAAGCUGGUCAAAAGCUCGCAUUGUCACUCCGGAGCUUUUGCGCUUGACUCAUCUCUCUGGCUUUCAAAACCGGGAAGUGCGCGGCUGCGACGGCGUCGGGCAGCGUGCUCCGCGGAGAAAACACGCGCUCUAAUCCUCUCGACCAGAGGCUCUCCUCGGUCUCCGCCAGAAAACUCAAGCCCUCCGCAAGCCGGGAGGCUCCUGCGACCAGCAAGCCGUCCCCGGACCCGGCCGGACCGCGUGGCCGGGCGCGCAUUCUAACGCGGCGGGACUGGAGCGCUGACAAACUGUUUUCAGUUUGCACACCCAGCCGUCCCCGCCGCGGAAUCUGCUCCAAGAAGAUGUCGUUAGGCAGUUACGGGCAGGACUGAUGCUUUGACCGCAGGGGGGAUCCGGGCAAAGAUUUAUCUGGAAGUUUGUCUUGCACAACCCACUUCUGGAGUCCCGCGACACUCCAGACAAAAGGACGGGCUCUAAACCUAUCUCGAGAGUCCUCUGGACCUGCUGUUAGGACCCUAGUUCUCCUCACCUGGUCCAAAUGAACUCAGCAUUCGGCAACUUCUCGUCUCCACCUCCAUCCCCCACCCCGUUUUUGGUGAGCGACUUUUUUAAAAGGGGGCUCGAGCUCGGAGAACAAGAAACCUAUAGAGAAGCUAUCCCCGCGCUGUCACGCGUCCCCGCUCGUC